UGGUCCUCCACCUGAACCAAUCACCACCCCCAACAGAGAGAGAGAGCAACAGGGCCCCUCUCCUCGCUCCAAACCAAAGAGUGACAAUGGGAGGAACAAGCAGUCUAACCAGUCCAGCCACUCUCCUCCCCAGUAUAAACUCCACAGUUUCAGUCUACUGCACUACGAUAAGGAGAGACUGGAGAGACAGAUUGGUGAUUACAGGAAGAGUAGGCGGGAUCCUCCAUCUGACCUGGUACAGCAACACAAGGAGGUCACACACAGGCUGCAGUGGCAGAAAGCCCAGCUC
Molecule: long non-coding RNA, 289 nt
Organism: Oncorhynchus gorbuscha (pink salmon)
Lineage: Eukaryota; Metazoa; Chordata; Actinopteri; Salmoniformes; Salmonidae
Exons: 3
Source: RefSeq, a predicted model, not a curated record